Molecule: long non-coding RNA, 419 nt
Filed under: Sorghum bicolor (sorghum)
Lineage: Eukaryota; Viridiplantae; Streptophyta; Magnoliopsida; Poales; Poaceae
Description: long non-coding RNA (SBIC_LNC004476)
Source: RNAcentral
CUGAAUUUUGACGUAAUUUCUUGUGAUGUAGCUAGCAGGUGGUGGAGGUGUAUUUAAAAGUCAGCAGCACCCUCACAGCGAUUAGGAUGUCCUCCGUCUGCUAGUCUUCUUGAUUCUUGAAUUCUGUGGAGCUCAAAUAGAUAACAAAGCUUUGGAACUGAUUAGGUGUUAGCAUAAAUAUCUAGCCUUUAUCAUAUUGAGCCUCCUCAAUAAAUGCUACUUUCUUGGGUAGGAUCACAAUCUUAUUUUUAUAUUUUCAUUUUUCUAGAGCAGAAAAAAUAUUUAUUUUAUAUUUAUGCCACCACAGUGAAUGUACUUAUGGGUUUUAUGCCACUCGUAUACUCACAUGGAGCUUACUGUUUUUAACAUUUUUUUAUUUCCUUUUUAAGAUAGUAUGAACAUGAUUGACUAAGCAAACU